Molecule: non-coding RNA, 73 nt
Organism: Ameiurus melas (black bullhead)
Lineage: Eukaryota; Metazoa; Chordata; Actinopteri; Siluriformes; Ictaluridae
Source: the annotation of a GenBank genome assembly
GGUUCUAUAGUAUAGUGGUCAUCAUGUCUGCUAUACACCUAGGGUGUCCUAGGUUUGACCCCCAGUCGAACCA